GUUAUGGCUUUUGUCCAUUUAUUGAAGGGCACUUGCAACCUGCCAUAUGUAGCCGUCUAUCUUUGUUCCUUGUUUCAGGGAAACAAUAUCUUCUUAGAUUUUUACUUUUUUUUUUCUUUUUCUGGACUUGGAAGUUUGGGCAUAGCCACUUUUAUAUAUUUAAAAUGAGACCAUACCGAAAAAGGUUUUGGGUGUAUUUAGUAUACCAAUAUGCAGCAUGAGAUGCAAAUACAGCGUUUCGAACUAAAUUAAUCUAUAAUGUCAUCAUCUCGGCUUAAGGUUUAACAGUUAACAAUAUUACGUGUUAUAAUUUGAGUUAAUUAGGUAGGAUAGUGUCAUCACGCACCUAUUUUUACUUCUCAUACACUCUUCUUAAUUUUCGGUCGUCAGAUUAAAUAAAUUAAUUGAAGAAUAUCAAUGACAGAAAAUUAAAAAGAGUAGAGGAGGUAAAAAUGAGCAUGUAAAUUGCACUAUCCAUUUAGUAGACCACUUUAUAGUAUGUCGUGUGAUGUAUACAAUAUAUGUGAUAAUUUUUUUCGUUCAGUCUAUUCAUGUAUUAAAUUAAAAAAGUGACUCGUAUAAAUAAUGUCGCAUACACAAGUUUCGUCUUAAAAGAUACAAUUAACGAUGUGAUUUGUAAAUAUGAUAAUUAUAUGUGUCCUAGUCCAAAAUACGGUAGAAAUGAUGUAACCUUUUCCACAUUCCUUGUACAACAUAAAGCCAUUUUUUCUUGGAAUCAAUAAAGAAGAAUUUAGAGACAAGUAGCUCAAAUUAAGCUAUCAUCUCACAUUACUCAAAAGAUAUGGAGGAUUUUGUGAUUCUAUUGCAGUUGUGGUGGUAGUGAGAUUUAGUAUUUAGUUUUACGCAAAGCUUUAUAAUUAUCACACCUUCAAUUUGUUUAAUGUUCUUCCAAAUCAAAGCACAUUUGAAACAUGCUUUUUGUAACUAACCUACCUACUUAAUCAAGUGUGACACAUGACAUAAUUCCUUUGAACCAAAGUUUAUGGAGAAGGGUCGAUCCAGCAGUGGUGGCUGGUGAGAAAGAUAGAUGCAAACAAAUUGUGUCGGUCCUUAAUUUUUCACAUCCAAUAGAGAGCAUACGAGAUUUUGGAUUUUGGAAUAAUAAUAGUGGCCCAUAUUCCGUGAGCUGUUCACACAUGUUUUUGCAAGUAUGUUCCUUGCUUAUAUUCUAGUGAAUAAAAGUUAAGACAUGGCUUUCAAAAUUGCGGGUCGUUUGCUAUGUGCACAUGAGACACGCCUUCAUCGAGUUUAAUCUUUCUUUUCUUUUUCUUUCGUUUUUUUCUUUGAGUGGAACCAUAGUUGUAUUUGUGUUUUAAUUGUAUUAUUAUUAAGGGGGGAGGGGAUUGGAAACUAUUACAAUAAUUCAAGUGAUGAGGAGUUUUGAACCCGAGAUACAUGAGUAGAAACUCAACACCUUAUCCAUUAAAAUGUUAGACCGCAUGCAACGAUAGUUGUUUUAUUAGAGUAUUAAAAAAAAUACAGAAAGUAAAAAGGACAUUCUGGAUGAAGUCCGAGCAGUCCUCAGACUAAAGGUCAUAAUUAAGUAAAAAAUGUCAUUGUAUCAACAUAUUUGUGGAGUGACAAGCGCAAUUUUCUUUAUCUUAUGGAGAGAGAGGGAGAGAAAGGCUACAUUGCAAUUGCACAUCCAAAUAAGAAUAGUAAAUCAAACAAAACAGGUGAUAAAUUAGUUAAAUGCGUUUCUUUUUCUUCAAGUAACAACAAGCUAGGUUCCCCUACCUUCUCCAACAACGAGAGAGAGAGAGAGAGAAGGAAAGGGAGAGAGAUGGGAAAGCAAUUUCUUUUCAAAUAUAAAACAGCUCAUGAACUAUUUCUUAAUAACUGAAUUAUGCCGGCCUAACAAAAAAAAUCUCAUGAUCACCGAUUGUUUAACAAAGCAAAUCUAUAUUAAAACAGGAUUAUGCAUGUGGACGAUGGAUGUUUAACACCAAUCAAUUAAUUUAAUUUGAUCUUAAUUAAGGGUAAUCAAGGUUUUAAAGCUUGUGCAUGUAAUACUUUGAGAUUCGGUAAUAAUGUUGUGUAUGAGUAAUCGAGUUUAACACUAAUCAAUCAGUCUAAUUAAGAUUUAGUGAUCUUUUUAUUCUGUCAUUUCCUUCACCUGUCCCCUCUCUGGCCACUACUCUCCAAUCAUGUACAAUUCUACAGAAUUUAUUAGCAUCCCUUUCUUUAAAGUUAAUGACUUUUUAAUGCAUAUCAUUAAAAGAUAACAACACUUAAAAACUUACCCCCCCCCCACUUCUCGGAAAAUGGCUGGUGUCACCCAAUGAGCAAUCAACCAGCUCAAGUAACAAAUCACUGUGCCCAAGCAAUUACAUUGGCAGUAAAUUACUUUGCCCUAGCAAUAGCUUUUCGCCCAAGUAUUAAGAGGGUAAUGACCUCGCAAGUAAUAGUAGGAUAAUAACUUUCGCACUCUCGUUCCUCUCUUGCACUCUUUUUUAUUUGUUUUUAACAUUUAGAUCAAACAAUCAAGAAACGUCAAAAAAUUGAAUAUAACAUAAAACCAAUAGAAAAUAAAAAAGAGUGUGAAAAUCAGUUCCUCGUAAAAAUUAAGUUAUUUAAGUAUCGAAAUAUAAAUCUAGCCGCGUGUGGCGUGUGUGCGAGUAAAAAUCUUUCCAUAAAAACACGUUUGAAUACGAGUGCAUGAUCGGAAACCAGUCGUUGGGCCAAAAAAAUCGUUGCCUAUCACGUGCUUUAAA
Molecule: long non-coding RNA, 2735 nt
Filed under: Malus domestica (apple)
Lineage: Eukaryota; Viridiplantae; Streptophyta; Magnoliopsida; Rosales; Rosaceae
Description: long non-coding RNA (MDOM_LNC015031)
Source: RNAcentral